This 429-nucleotide ribosomal RNA is filed under the name Chloroflexota bacterium. Its description in RNAcentral is "Chloroflexi bacterium partial 16S ribosomal RNA". It matches the Rfam family "Bacterial small subunit ribosomal RNA", at positions 355 to 776 of the family's 1533-position model. Lineage: Bacteria; Bacillati; Chloroflexota. The record is from RNAcentral.
UGGGGAAUAUUGCACAAUGGGCGCAAGCCUGAUGCAGCCAUGCCGCGUGUAUGAAGAAGGCCUUCGGGUUGUAAAGUACUUUCAGUCGGGAGGAAGGUGUCAAGGUUAAUAACCUUGGCAAUUGACGUUACCGACAGAAGAAGCACCGGCUAACUCCGUGCCAGCAGCCGCGGUAAUACGGAGGGUGCAAGCGUUAAUCGGAAUUACUGGGCGUAAAGCGCACGCAGGCGGUUGAUUGAGUCAGAUGUGAAAUCCCCGGGCUUAACCCGGGAAUUGCAUCUGAGACUGGUCAGCUAGAGUCUUGUAGAGGGGGGUAGAAUUCCAUGUGUAGCGGUGAAAUGCGUAGAGAGGUGGAGGAAUACCGGUGGCGAAGGCGGCCCCCUGGACAAAGACUGACGCUCAGGUGCGAAAGCGUGGGGAGCAAACAGG